RNAcentral lists this unclassified non-coding RNA (310 nucleotides) under Hevea brasiliensis (rubber tree). Lineage: Eukaryota; Viridiplantae; Streptophyta; Magnoliopsida; Malpighiales; Euphorbiaceae. The record is from RNAcentral.
UUGAGGAGUCUCACAGUUUUCAGGCCAUUCAUCUUACGGGAGAGUUUUACACUGUCACAGUACACGAUAAAAAGCUGAAAGGAAGAAAAUAAUAAAAUAGCAGCUAUAGGUCAAUCAAAGUAGGAACUAUUAGUCUUCUUUAAUAGUUCCUUUAAUCCUGUACUCUUGUUACUUCUUCUUGGACAAAAAAUAUCUAUCAAGUACAUAACCAUUUAAACUAAUAACAUCAAGAUCUGUAUCAUCAGCCACUUUGACAAUCAUUCACUAAUAACAUCAAGAUCUGUAUCAUCAGCCACUUUGACAAUCAUUC